CAUAUCAGAAUCAGAUAAGAGAUAACACUUAAUAGUUAAUAGUAGAAAGCAAAUAAGAUGAUAACAAGGUCCAGUACAAUAGUGCACAUAAGGCCAUAACAAGGUCCAUGAAAGUUCAAACAAGGAUAAAAAAGGUAAUAAGAAGGUCCACGAAACAAGAAUAACAAGAUUCUUGCUCUUUGAUUCUCUCACAAGUCACAACCAAAAGUCUAAAGUAGAAUUCUUCUCUCACAACUCACAACACCAAUCAGCAUAAGAUUCAAGGUUGCAUAUGAUCUUCCUCACCAUUGUCAUUGGUUUCUUCUAACCCAACCCCAUCAUCAUUAGACUCGAACUCUAUCUCAUCCUCAUUGAUAGGCACAACGUCAAUUUCAUCAUUAGAAACAAACUCUUUCACUUCAUGUAGUUAUCUCACCCUUAGACUUCUACGAGGCUCCAUUGCAUUGUCAUAUUCGGCUUCCUCCAUUUCAACAUCUUCACAUAUCCUAUCUUGGGUUGUGGAAGCAUCUUCACCAAGGAGGACAUCAGAAGAUGAUGAGUACUUCUUUCUCUUGUCUAGCAUUCUUCCAUUGAACUGAACAUAAACUAGAUCGUCCCUACAACGCACAUCCACUUUAUUUGUUCUCUUUUCAUGUAC
RNAcentral lists this long non-coding RNA (637 nucleotides) under Hordeum vulgare. Its description in RNAcentral is "long non-coding RNA (HVUL_LNC000631)". Lineage: Eukaryota; Viridiplantae; Streptophyta; Magnoliopsida; Poales; Poaceae. The record is from RNAcentral.